UAGCUCAGAGGUAGAGUGCUUGCCUUGCAUGCAUGAGGCCCUGGGUUCGAUUCCUCAG
This 58-nucleotide transfer RNA is filed under the name Dipodomys ordii (Ord's kangaroo rat). It matches the Rfam family "tRNA", at positions 8 to 63 of the family's 71-position model. Rfam says of the family: Transfer RNA (tRNA) molecules are approximately 80 nucleotides in length. Their secondary structure includes four short double-helical elements and three loops (D, anti-codon, and T loops). Further hydrogen bonds mediate the characteristic L-shaped molecular structure. tRNAs have two regions of fundamental functional importance: the anti-codon, which is responsible for specific mRNA codon recognition, and the 3' end, to which the tRNAs corresponding amino acid is attached (by aminoacyl-tRNA synthetases). tRNAs cope with the degeneracy of the genetic code in two manners: having more than one tRNA (with a specific anti-codon) for a particular amino acid; and 'wobble' base-pairing, i.e. permitting non-standard base-pairing at the 3rd anti-codon position. Lineage: Eukaryota; Metazoa; Chordata; Mammalia; Rodentia; Heteromyidae. The record is from Rfam by way of RNAcentral.